AUUCCCAGGAUUCCACACAGGAAGAAGAUGAUCUGGGUGAUGACCAGAUCUGUAAAGUAGAAAUCAAAGAAGAAGAGAUGUAUGUGAUGGGUGAUCAGCCCUAUGCAGAGAACGAUAUGUCUCCAGAGAGCAGCACAGAUGGUCACAAUGGGUGGAAUAAUAUUGAACGGCAUCGUAUUUCAUCUCCAGAUUACAAUGAAUAUCAUGCACAUGAA
Molecule: long non-coding RNA, 215 nt
Organism: Nanorana parkeri
Lineage: Eukaryota; Metazoa; Chordata; Amphibia; Anura; Dicroglossidae
Exons: 3
Source: RefSeq, a predicted model, not a curated record